This 75-nucleotide microRNA precursor is filed under the name Myotis lucifugus (little brown bat). RNAcentral describes it as "mir-9229 microRNA precursor family". It matches the Rfam family "mir-9229 microRNA precursor family". The record is from Rfam by way of RNAcentral. Lineage: Eukaryota; Metazoa; Chordata; Mammalia; Chiroptera; Vespertilionidae.
ACACCCUUCUGGGGCAAGACUUGCUUCAGUGGGGCUUUGGUGCUCACUGAGUCUGCCCCCCCUGAGUGUGUCCCU